CUAACACAAUCAAAGCAUUUCUCUCCAAACACUGUGCUGACCACCCAAACAAUUGGGAUGAUCACCUAUCAGCUGUUUCAUUUGCCUUCAAUGUAACUCACUUGAAAGUCUUUAUCUCUUGCAAGGUUCAGUAGUGGCAGAUCAUGACUACAUUGGAUUGCCUGAAAUUCCGGUUGGAGCAUAUCAAGCAAAUAUUCUGGUGGAAGAUGCAACUAUUGGUAUAGUCGAUAAUGAAUUACUGACAUCAAGCAAGGAUCGUGAACUAUUAGAAUAUAGAAAUACGAAAAUCUCUCCAUUGAUAGACGAUCAUAGUUCUCUUGAAAAGCAGACUUUCAGUCUGUUGGACUCUUCAAACCAGGUUCUUGAAUACUUAAGUUAGUAAAUACCAAAAUUUAUUUAAAGUGCUUGUUUAGAAUAUAAACUCUUAAUGAUAUCUUAUUCAUUAAAAACGUUGUAUAGAAG
Molecule: small RNA, 462 nt
Filed under: Pan troglodytes (chimpanzee)
Lineage: Eukaryota; Metazoa; Chordata; Mammalia; Primates; Hominidae
Description: processed transcript
Source: RNAcentral